This is a long non-coding RNA of Cydia splendana, 2424 nucleotides long. RefSeq lists it as uncharacterized. The record is from RefSeq and is a predicted model, not a curated record. The transcript is spliced from 2 exons. Lineage: Eukaryota; Metazoa; Arthropoda; Insecta; Lepidoptera; Tortricidae.
AACAGGCUACCCACUAAAGCGCUAAUUGGCAAAACCCCGUACGAAAUGUGGCAUGGUGUAAAACCGAAAAUAAGUCACUUGAGGGUAUUCGGUUCCACUGCAUAUGUUCAUAAUAAAACUAGAAAGACCAAAUUUGACGAAAAAUCAUUUAAAUCAAUUUUAAUUGGUUAUGUGCCUAAUGGUUAUAAAUUAUUUAAUACUGAAAAUAAUCAGUUUUUAAUUGCCAGAGAUGUAUUGUUUGACGAGUCAAAUUUUGGUGAAUCUAGACCAAUAUGCAGUGAUGACAUUCCUAAUAAAAUCAGCAAGCCGAACAAUGAGUCGGUGGAGUUGAUCAAGCCAAUAUGCAGCAAUAAUGAAAUUCCCGCCAAAAUCAACAAGCCUAAUAAUUCGGUGGAGUUGAUAGGCAAUACACAAAGUGACGUAAAUAACAAGUCGCUAAAUGACAACAAUGAACAGUUACAAAGUGACGUUAGCAACAAGUCACUCGACACCGAACACAGUUGUUUACGACGCAGCGAUAGAAUUCGUAAUCUACCCCCUAAAAAUUAUGAAUUAAUGAAUGACCCAGAUUUAGCAGUUUUAUCGCUUUGUUCUAAACAACAGUUACCAUUACCGGUGCAUUUCAAUGAUAUUUUCAAUCGGCCAGAUACAAAUGAGUGGUUAAGUGCAAUAAAAAGUGAAAUUGAUUCAUUACGUAGCAAUCAAACUUGGUGUCUUGUGGAUAAACCUAGUGGUGUAAAUAUUGUAAGUAGCAAAUGGGUUUUUACUAUUAAAAAUAACGAGUUAGGUGAACCGAUACGAUACAAGGCCCGAUUAGUAGCGCGAGGUUUUAGUCAACAGUAUUUAGAAGACUAUGACGAAACGUUUGCCCCAGUUGCGCGGAUUACUACGUUUAGAAUGAUUUUAGCGUUCGCGAAUCAAAAUGAUUUACUUGUCCAUCAUAUGGACGUGAAGACUGCAUUUCUGAACGGCAUUUUAAAGGAGGACAUUUAUAUGCAGGUGCCAGAGGGUAUUUCUUCUAAGUCUAAUCAAGUGUGUAAAUUAAAUAAAACACUCUAUGGCUUAAAACAGUCUUCACGAUGCUGGUACGAACGUUUCGAUCAGGCGAUUAAGGGCAUGGGUUUCGAAAGCUCGAAAGUUGACCCAUGUUUGUACAUAUUGAAUAAAAAUUCGAUUGAUUUGAAUGUGUAUAUAGUUUUAUAUGUUGAUGAUUUAUUAAUAGUAACUAAAAGUGUACAAACAAUGCAACAACUUAAGAACUGUCUAAUGAAACAAUUUGAGAUGACCGAUUUAAAUGAUAUAAAAUUAUUCCUUGGCAUACGAAUUGAAAGAACCAAAGAUAAAAUAACUUUGGACCAAUCAACAUAUCUACAAAAUGUUUUAAACAAAUUUUCCAUGAGUGAUUGCAAUCCCUCAAAAUCACCUUUCCCAAAUAAAUUAAACUAUGACGCAUUGAAUAGUGAUGUACAAUACAAUGCACCCAGUAGACAAGUCAUAGGUUGCCUAAUGUACGCAAUGCUUUGCACGCGUCCUGAUUUGUGCGCGGCUGUUAAUAUUCUAAGCAGAUUUCAAAGUAAAGGCAAUGAGGAGUUAUGGAAAUGUUUAAAGCAUCUUUUAAGAUAUGUGAAGGGAACUUUAAAUCUUAAAUUGACUUAUCAUAAAUGUGAUUAUAAACAGCUAAUGACUGGUUAUGCGGACUCUGAUUGGGGAGGCGAUGAAACUGAUAGAAAAAGUACAACAGGAUAUUUAUUUCAAAUGUUCGAUAAUUGUACAAUUUCGUGGUGCACACGUAAACAAAAUACAGUGGCCGUUUCCUCAACAGAAGCCGAAUAUAUGGGUCUAUUUGAAGCUGUAAAAGAGGCUAUAUGGAUAAAAUCGUUACUUAUUAGUGUAUACAUAAAAGUAACUAAGCCUAUACUUAUUUAUGAAGACAACAAUAGUUGCAUUAGCAUUGCUAAUAAUCCCACAAAUCACAAAAAGUCAAAGCAUAUUGAUAUAAAAUAUCAUUUUACCCGUGAACAAAUAAACAACAAUGUAAUAAUGCUAGAACAUAUUUCCACAGGAAACCAACUAGCAGAUAUGUUCACGAAGGCGAUUCCAAUGACAAAGUUUCAUGAAUUAAGAGUAAAAUUGAAUUUAAUUUGAUUCUAUUAUAAUUGCAUAAUAUAAAUGUAACAUGAUUGUAUAAACUAACAAUAUAAAAUGAUUAAAAUGCAAUGUUGAGCUUUUUGAUUAGAGUGUAUAUUAAAUGUAUAAAAUACUUGAAUUUUUGAGGGGGACUGUUGGUAUAUUACAAAAAUCCAAGUCUACCUUCCAUUUGUUCAUUCAUUGUAUAAAUACAUUCAUUCACUCAUUCAGUCAAUCUGUCAUUCGUUCAUAAUCAUUAUUCUUGAUUCACUUGAAUACAGAACGUUGAACAGUCAA